CAGAAGCUUUGGAUAGGGUUCUUCGUAUGGUGGAUGGAGAUGGCAUGCCAAUUGGUUUCCUUUAUGAGGCCAUGGAUAAGGCCAAAGAGGCCAUUUUGCAUAACUAUGGUGGAAACAACAAAAAAUCAAAUCAUUGGACACAUCAUUGAUCAUAGAUGGACAAAUUAACUCCACCAGCAUGCCUUGGCCUACCACUUGAACCCAAAAUUAUAUUUCUCUAAUACAUUUAAGGCUGACGAGGAGGUCAUGGUAGGUGUUAUUACGUGCAUUGAUAAGAUGGUGCCAAAUCGUGAGAUGAGAGACAAAGGUCUUGAUGAGUGGGAGGUCUACAAGGAUGCGGAGGGGAGAAUCUUUUCUUUAGCUCAAGCAAUUUAAAGGAGAGAAAAACAACCAAAUUAAUGGUAGGAGAAUUAUGGUGUUGCCACACCAUAUCUUCAAAGGCUAGCCAUCCAUAUUUUAUCCCGGCCAUGUAUUGCUUAUGGGUGUGGGUGUGAACACAAUUGGAGCUUUUUUGAGAGCAUUCACAUAAAGAAAGAAACAUGUUGACUCAGGGGCGCCUCGAUGAUCUUGUCUUCAUUUGACAACUUUUGCCUUCAAACUAAAAAGGUGGGAGGGCAUUUCACAUGAAUCCAUUGACUUGGAUGAUAUUGAUCCUUAUGGUGAAUGGACUGUUGAUAAACAAGAUGAUGCUCUACUUACUGAUGAAGAUCUUGUAGAAUUGGAGAGAGAAGCAGCAAAAGCAGCAGAAUUGGAUGCAGUGGAGGAAAACAAAGACACUUUUGAAGAAACAAUCCAUCAUCAUUUUUGAUACUAUAGAACCUUGUAGUUUAUUUGGUUGUUUUUCUCGUUUUGACAUAUCAUCAUAUGUAAACAUAUAUAAAUUUAUAAUGCUGAUAUACAUUUGAAACUAUGA
This is a long non-coding RNA of Cryptomeria japonica (Japanese cedar), 913 nucleotides long. RefSeq lists it as uncharacterized. The transcript is spliced from 3 exons. The record is from RefSeq and is a predicted model, not a curated record. Lineage: Eukaryota; Viridiplantae; Streptophyta; Pinopsida; Cupressales; Cupressaceae.